RNAcentral lists this ribosomal RNA (513 nucleotides) under uncultured bacterium. RNAcentral describes it as "partial 16S ribosomal RNA". It matches the Rfam family "Bacterial small subunit ribosomal RNA", at positions 28 to 523 of the family's 1533-position model. The record is from RNAcentral.
GACGAACGCUGGCGGCAUGCCUAAUACAUGCAAGUCGAGCGAACAGAUGAAGUGCUUGCACUUCUGACGUUAGCGGCGAACGGGUGAGUAACACGUAAGGAAUCUACCUAUAAGCGGGGGAUAACAUUCGGAAACGGAUGCUAAUACCGCAUAAUAUCUUCUUCCGCAUGGAAGAAGAUUGAAAGACGGCUCUGCUGUCACUUAUUGAUGACCUUGCGGUGCAUUAGUUAGUUGGUGGGGUAACGGCCUACCAAGACGAUGAUGCAUAGCCGACCUGAGAGGGUGAUCGGCCACAUUGGGACUGAGACACGGCCCAAACUCCUACGGGAGGCAGCAGUAGGGAAUCUUCCGCAAUGGGCGAAAGCCUGACGGAGCAAUGCCGCGUGAGUGAAGAAGGCCUUCGGGUCGUAAAACUCUGUUAUAAGAGAAGAACAAAUUGUAGAGUAACUGCUACAGUCUUGACGGUAUCUUAUCAGAAAGCCACGGCUAACUACGUGCCAGCCGCCGCGGUAA